GCCCUGGUAGUAUAGAGGUUAGUAUGUGGGACUGUCACUCCUUCGACCCGGGUUCGAAUCCCGGCCAGGGCG
This 72-nucleotide transfer RNA is filed under the name Nitrososphaerota archaeon. RNAcentral describes it as "Thaumarchaeota archaeon tRNA-Asp". It matches the Rfam family "tRNA". Rfam says of the family: Transfer RNA (tRNA) molecules are approximately 80 nucleotides in length. Their secondary structure includes four short double-helical elements and three loops (D, anti-codon, and T loops). Lineage: Archaea; Thermoproteati; Nitrososphaerota. The record is from RNAcentral.